UAUAGGUUGCUCUCUGUCGUGGAUUUGUCACGGCAGAUGCCCUAGUGAAAGGACUUAGGUGUGGAGCCAUCGCAACUAGGUUAGCUUGAAGGGGUUGAACGGGACAAAGGACACAGAGAGUUUACCCAGGUUCGGCCCCUCACAAUGAGGUAAAGGCCUAUGUCCUGCUUCUAAUUGUAUUGCUUGAGUUUCGAUUACAAGGGAGCGAAUACGCUUGACCUAGUUCUCGAUUGCUUGUUUCUCGAGUUAACCUGCCGCCGGGUCUCACCUUUAUAUACACAGGUAGAGACCCGGAGGCUUAUAGAGUCCCAGCCGGCUCACACAGCGUGUCCGGCUUGGUUUCUAACUAAUCCUGCCUUACAGAACAAGUCUUCAUACGACAGUUCACAGGCCCAGGUCUUGGGCUUUUACUAGGCCUGCCUCCAAGAGCCGCCAUCUUCGUACUUCUCCUUGGGCCUCCUUGGACCUUCUUCAUGUUGAGUCGCCAAUGGUGUAACCCGGCCCCUCCUGGGCGGGUCACACCUAGGAGCUAUAUCCCCAACAUCAGGCCCCAGGUUGAUUUGAAGUUGUUCAUAUCAAUCUCCACUAUUUAACUUAGCAUAAUGUAUCAGUGUCGAAUCUUCAUCAGACCGAUAUAACCCGCCAUGACAUCACAUAAGCAGAAAUAUUGUAACCCGCCAUGACGUCAUGUGCAUUGAUUCCGCACAAAGCCCAUGAUAUCUCAAUGGAUCUUUAUCUUAAUGGACCUCCUGAGAAUCGAGGCACCCACGUCGUUUAACAUAAUCAUUUUGCCUCCUCAAUUUCCGUGCAGGCCAUCUUUUCACCUCCUUAUAAAUAGGGACAGGGGGUCCUCUUCUUCACUUUUUACCCCUGCCUCUGCCUCUUCUUCUUCCUCGCAACGACCGACGCCUCCGGAGCUCCGCCGCCCCCGUAGACUGCAUCAACCUUGGCCGCUGCAUCAACCUGACCUCGACCAGAAAACGGCGGCGCCCCUCCGCUGUUCAUCAGCAUCUCCAGGUACCCAUCUCCUUUUUCCUCACAUCUGCAUUAGGGUUUCUGUAGUUCUUCGGAGUUCAUCGGUGUUCAUCACCCUUGUCUAUAGUUCAUCGACCAUGCCACCUUAGUAGGACCAAAAUGCGAUGCUAAAGUCACACCUUACCCCCCUUUAAUAUCUGCUAUCAAAUAUGGAUCCACUUGCUGCUGUUGAAAUUCACUCCCCACACCCGUGGUUCGUCCAUUGUUUUUAGGGCUAGUAAUUUUCUCCUGUUUCUGUAACGGCCGUAGAUUUGAAAUUAUAGGCAGAAUCUGUGAAACUUGUUUGUCUAGCACUUAGUGAAAUUCUAUCCAAUCCCUAGAUCUUGUAACCAUCGGCUCGACCACUGUUGUAUGAGCGGCUCAAAUAAUACUUUGUAACCCGCCAAAUACCAGCCGGCUUACCUUAUAAGUUGUUUAAACCGCCAGUACUUAUCCAGGCUUGACAUUAUCCAGCUCAUACCUCGCCGGUUUAACCAUGAUAUUUUCUUUUCUGCAACCAUUAAGCAGCUUACCAAUCCUUGCAUAUAACCAAUUUUGCAUAAUAACUUUACUUUGUUCAACCAUCGGGCGGCUCAUCAUCACAAAUUUGACCCGCCAUGAUUUCCUUUCUAGGUUUUCACCUGAUCAAAAUGACUAAGACCGUCACCUUGUGCGACUGGGUCGUUUUCCAAUGUCAUAGAACGGACUCUCCAAGAGUUUGUUGCCAUGGGCGUUUUACCAUCUAAGGAUGUCAUCCAUUGGCGGGUUCCAGGGGCUGAGGUUCCACCUCAACCAAAAGAAGGAGAAGUUAUAGUUUUCUCUGAUCAUAUGCUCUGAGGCUUCUCACCGCCCGGCUCAAAAUUAUUCCAUGACGUCCUGAAUUUCUAUCAACUUCACCCUCAAGACAUCGGACCCAACUCAGUUUCCAAUAUUUGCAAUUUUCAAGUCUUUUGUGAAGUAUACCUUCAAGAGGAGCCCAACGUUGACCUCUUUAGAGAGUAUUACUAUUUGAACCGCCAAACAGAGAUGACAGACGGGCCCAACCUUGAACUUGGUGGAAUUUCUAUCCGGAGGUGAAGAGACGCCGUCUUUCCUUCAGCUGCACUUCCCAGUCACCCCAAAGACUGGAACCAGACUUGGUUUUAUUGCCAAGACACCUCUCCGGCGGGUGAAAAUCCUCUGCCGGGUUUCCGUAUUCACCGGCUCAACCCCAAGCACCCACUUCCAGACCGGAUCAGCUCUGCUGAACGAGCCAAUUAUGGACCCACUUUUACUAAGAUAAGGGCCUUGAUGGCAAAUGGCUUGACCGGUAUUGACCUGGUCCGAUGCUGGGUUAGCUGGAGAAUCAUGCCUUUAAGCCGCUGCCCCGGCUUAAUGUGCACAUACACAGGCGAUGUGAAUGACCCCUUGCGGUAUAACUCAACAUUCCUUGAAGAGAAGGACCUCAACGAAAUGACCAAGUCUUUACUUGGAGAAACUCUAGAAAUCUACAGCAAAACGGGGCUGAGCCCCUUCUAUGUUCUUAACCCGGCUCCAGCUGUAAGUAUAUGAAGCCCCUUUUACUUUAUUCAUUAUUCUCAUAUGUUGCACUGGCCUUAUUAUCCUGCUCUCUUCAGGCCGACUCUCCUUUUUGGAAUAAGAAGCUUCAAGAUAAACCGGCUAAAAGGCCAGGGGAAAGACCAAGGCUCCCAAGAGACCCGCCAAGAAGAAAACAGAUGCAACAGACUAAUUCCAAUUUACUCUGGAUGAUGAGUCGGAGGAUGACGCGGAGACCAGCCAGGCAGAUGCUGUAGAGAAACAACAGCAUGAAGCUCGGCGUACAACCCGGAAUAGCGGAGGGGGAGACCUUCAUGCCGGCUUACCCAACACGCCGGCCCCUCGCAAACGCCGAGCAGAGGUUUCUCAGGACUCAAACUUCUCUUUUCCAAAGGCGGGUCUUUUUCGUCAACCGCUUAAUCCUUCCAACUCAAAUUAUCAUGGAACCUCUCACUCCUCCUCCGGCAACUCU
This is a long non-coding RNA of Triticum aestivum (bread wheat), 3022 nucleotides long. RefSeq lists it as uncharacterized. Lineage: Eukaryota; Viridiplantae; Streptophyta; Magnoliopsida; Poales; Poaceae. The transcript has 3 exons. The record is from RefSeq and is a predicted model, not a curated record.